This 334-nucleotide ribosomal RNA is filed under the name uncultured bacterium. Its description in RNAcentral is "bacterial SSU rRNA". It matches the Rfam family "Bacterial small subunit ribosomal RNA", at positions 30 to 371 of the family's 1533-position model. The record is from RNAcentral.
CCUGAACGCUGGCGGCGUGGCUAAGACAUGCAAGUCGCACGGCCGUAGCGAAUACGGCAGUGGCGAACGGGUGAGUAAUGAAUCGCUAACGUACCCCGGACUCCGGGAUAGCCAUCCGAAAGGGUGGGUAAUACCGGAUGACAUGACCGAACCGCAUGGUUUGGUCCUCAAAGGUCCGCCGGUCUGGGAGCGGGCGAUUUCGUAUCAGCUAGUUGGUGAGGUAACGGCUCACCAAGGGCUGACGCGUAGCCGGACUGAGAGGUUGGCCGGCCACAUUGGGACUGAGACACUGCCCAGACUCCGUACGGGGGCUGCAGUAACGAAUCUUCCGCAA